GUGACCUCAAGUCAGGUGAGGCUACCCGUUGAGUUUAAGCA
This 41-nucleotide ribosomal RNA is filed under the name Sphaerolobium nudiflorum. Its description in RNAcentral is "partial 28S ribosomal RNA". Lineage: Eukaryota; Viridiplantae; Streptophyta; Magnoliopsida; Fabales; Fabaceae. The record is from RNAcentral.